RNAcentral lists this ribosomal RNA (720 nucleotides) under uncultured bacterium. RNAcentral's name for it is "bacterial SSU rRNA". It matches the Rfam family "Bacterial small subunit ribosomal RNA", at positions 28 to 740 of the family's 1533-position model. The record is from RNAcentral.
AUUGAACGGUGCGGAAUGCUUUACACAUGCAAGUCGAACGGCAGCACGGAGAGCUUGCUCUCUGGUGGCGAGUGGCGAACGGGUGAGUAAUAUAUCGGAACGUGUCCAAUAAUGGGGGAUAACGAGUCGAAAGAUUCGCUAAUACCGCAUACGCCCUACGGGGGAAAGCAGGGGAUCGUAAGACCUUGCGUUAAUGGAGCGGCCGAUAUCUGAUUAGCUUGUUGGUGAGGUAAAGGCUCACCAAGGCGACGAUCAGUAGCUGGUUUGAGAGAACGACCAGCCACACUGGAACUGAGACACGGUCCAGACUCCUACGGGAGGCAGCAGUGGGGAAUUUUGGACAAUGGGGGCAACCCUGAUCCAGCCAUUCCGCGUGAGUGAAGAAGGCCUUCGGGUUGUAAAGCUCUUUCGCGAGGGAAGAAAACUUAUGAUCGAAUAAAUCAUGAGGUUGACGGUACCUUGAUAAGAAGCACCGGCUAACUACGUGCCAGCAGCCGCGGUAAUACGUAGGGUGCGAGCGUUAAUCGGAAUUACUGGGCGUAAAGCGUGCGCAGGCGGUUUUGUAAGUCGGAUGUGAAAUCCCCGGGCUCAACCUGGGAACUGCGUUCGAAACUGCAAGGCUAGAGUGUGUCAGAGGGGGGUAGAAUUCCACGUGUAGCAGUGAAAUGCGUAGAGAUGUGGAGGAAUACCAAUGGCGAAGGCAGCCCCCUGGGAUAACAC